This 240-nucleotide long non-coding RNA is filed under the name Trifolium pratense (red clover). RNAcentral's name for it is "long non-coding RNA (TPRA_LNC013787)". Lineage: Eukaryota; Viridiplantae; Streptophyta; Magnoliopsida; Fabales; Fabaceae. The record is from RNAcentral.
UUUUUACGAGAAAAUGAACUAGUUGAAUGAGGGUAUUGUUGUAAAAUUAUUUAUUUCACUACUUGUCACACAAAUCUCUCCUAAUAUGGAGAGAUUUAUUUUUGGCAGUUACUAACCAUUAUAUUUCUCUCUUUCCUUAUUUCUCUCCUCAUCCAAACUAUAGAAAUAAUUAAUUUCUUUGCUAUCUCUCUCUUUCUUAUUUCUCUCUUUUGUAAAUCUACCUAAACAAACACAGUGUUA